UCGGUUUGGAACAACGUUUGGAAACGAACGCUAAUACCGGAUACGGCUUGAGGGCGAAAGAUUCAUCGCCGAAGGAUUGGCCCGCGUUCGAUUAGCUAGAUGGCGGGGUAACGGCCCACCAUGGCGACGAUCGAUAGCUGGUCUGAGAGGAUGGCCAGCCACAUUGGGACUGAGACACGGCCCAAACUCCUACGGGAGGCAGCAGUGGGGAAUAUUGGAAAUGGGCGCAGCCUGAUCCACCAUGCCGCGUGAGUGAUGA
RNAcentral lists this ribosomal RNA (259 nucleotides) under uncultured Bacteroidota bacterium. RNAcentral's name for it is "uncultured Bacteroidetes bacterium partial 16S ribosomal RNA". It matches the Rfam family "Bacterial small subunit ribosomal RNA", at positions 133 to 411 of the family's 1533-position model. Lineage: Bacteria; Pseudomonadati; Bacteroidota. The record is from RNAcentral.